CACCAGCCUUCCCGCCUCAGUAGAGCCCAUCUCCACCACCCGGGGUCCUGUCUUCCCCCAGCCCAGCUCUUCCCGGCCCUGCGCCUGCGCAUGCUCUCUUUCCUGUCUAAAUGUCCUUCCCUCUCUUUUCUGGAGUCCCACUCACCUGUCAACUUGUACCAACGCACGGUCCUUCCCAGGACUCCAAGGAGGGGCCACUCCCUUUGUGCUCCCACCACCCACUCGCCCCAGGCCCACACUGUGGUGUGAAUGUGCCCACGUGUGUCAGUGUCAUACCCACGGUGACAUGGUGAACAAAGGGAGAAACUGGAAGCUUAUUCCUCAGGUCAGCACGAGGCAAGGACAUGCUCUCACCACUUCUAUUCAACAGAGUACAAGAGUCGUCAUCAGGAGCAGUUAGACAGGGAAAGAGAGCCACUUGGAAAGCAAGAAAUAAAUCCCUUUUACCUGCAGGUGACGUGGUCAUACGAAGAAGACCCCAAGGAGUACACACACACACACACACACAUACACAUACACAUACACACAGAGAAAGUUAAAUCUAAUAACUGAAUUCAUAAAAUUUCAGGAUAUAAAAUCAACAUAUAAAGAUCUUUGACAUUUCUAUAUACAAAUAACUACCUAGACAAAAAAAGAGAAAACAAACCCAUGUAUGAUAGCAUAAAAAGCUGAUUAAUUAGGAAUAAAUUAACAAAGAGGUGAAAGGCCUACACAUUGAAAACCAUAAAACAUUGAUGAAAAAAUUAACAUACUAAUGGAUCAAAAGAAUUAAUAUUGUUCAAGUGUCCAUAUGACCCAAAGCAACAGACUCCACAUAAUCCCUAUUGAAUUCCCAAUGACAUUCUUCAUAGAAACAAAAAACAAAAUUCUAAAGCUUCUAUACAAUAUCCCCACCACCUCCCACUCACACAACACACACACACACACACACACACACACACAGCCAAAGCAGUUCAGUUCUGAGGGGAAAUCCAAGGAGGAAGCGUCCUGCCUCCUGGGUGUGAGUUGCAUUACGAUGGCUGGGGCGCAGCGCAGUAGUAGAGCAUGCGCUUAGCAGGUGCAAGGCCCUGGGUUCAAUUCCCGCCAACAAAUGUGUGUAUGAGAGAGUGAGUGUGUAAACAGCCCUUCCACAAUGUCAAACCCAUUCUGCCUCCAGGAGCUGGCUGGCCAACCCUAGCCUGGCACCUUCACAUGCCUCCUCUGCACCCUCUCCAGCCGGGGAGGUCCAGCGCACGUGGCUGAGACCAUCAAGCAGACCUGGCACACAGGGGCAGCUGCUGCUGUCAGAAAGGCAGCGAGAGUCCCCUUCCUCCACCGGGGAGGAGGCCAUUGACUGCUGGCCCACCCCUGGGGAGAACAGAGCCCCCUGCUGAGCUCCUGUGGGACCUGUCCUGCUGUCCCCUCCCUUCCAGGUCUGAGAGCAAGAGGAGGGGAGAAAUUCAAGGUUCUGCUGGCCCCUCUUCACGGCCAGGCUUAAAGCGCCCUCUUGUGCCUUGAAGGCGAUCAGAGGGUACACGCCUGCCAAGGCCUCCCGAGCUGAAGGAACGUGGCAGUCCUGAGUGCCACAGUGUCCCCAGCAUCUUCUCCUGCCGUGAAGGCAGCCCACAUGGUCAUGCAACUGUUCAAGGCAGGCCCUGGGAGAGGAAGGCAAAGCUCCUCCCUCCCCUCCCCUCCUGGGGGCUAACCCUAACCCUAACCCCCCAGGUAAAGAUAGAGGCAGAGGCCAGAACAGGACUGGGAAAGGGCCAAGGGGAAGUGCAGCAACAGGGGUUCUGUUGGGUACGUGGUUAGGACUUCACUGCAGAGGGAGAAAGAGCUGGUCCUAGCAGGAGGCUGCCCAUCCCAGAGGGGCACGUGCAAAGGUCCUGAGGAGCUGGGGAAACUUGCCUUCCAUAUGGAAGGCAGAGAAGGGAGCUGCCUGUGGCUGCAGCAGGGCACAGGGAGGGUGCAGGGGAAGGGGCUGCAGGGGAUGGGGGGCCACAUGAUAUGAAGCAGCAAAGGCCAGGUGCAGAAACGACUCACUGAGCCUGAGCAGGAGUUUGUACUGUCCUCUAAACGCAGUGGAGGACCGUUGAAGGAGUCUCACUAGGUGGUUUGAUUUGAUUUACAUUUUUUGAACAAUUAGCAUUACUGUCCUGGUGGUCCCUGUGUUAUUAAUGUCACUAAAACAGCAAGCCACUUUUCAGAUUAAAACACUGCACGGCCCCUUCUCCUUUCCCAUCCCCAUCCUUCCCUUAGGAUGUGCUCUUAGGGGGAGCUGAUAGCCCUUUCAUUCCCCAGGGGACCCGGCAGAAGGGCGCCCCCCAUCCGCAGCUGCCCCAGCCUCCUCCCUGACUCACUUCCACCCGUGCAGCCGAUCACACCCCCUGGAACCUCCUGCAAUCCCUGGAGCCUUCCAACGCCUCUUGACAGGGACAAGGAGCCCACAGGGAGUGACAAGCCUGUCCCCUAGAGGGAACAUCCAUGGGGACCAUCCAAGCUGCCCUUGGCUUCAUAAGAGACCUCGGAAUCCCCACCCCCACCCUUCAUCUGGCAGUGGUGACAGGCAUCUGUGAUACAUGCCACGGGGGUCCUAGAGAACGCGUGCAAGGGGGCCUCUUGCGCCCGCCCCUCAUCUGUGACUCCCAAGGCUAGGGCCUACCCAGGCCCACCCAGGCCCACCCACCGGCUCCUGGUCUCUGGUUUGCGCUCCAAGGUCGUGAGGCAGCGAGGCGGGAAGAGCACCGGCGCCCCCUGCUGCCCACGCCCUCCACAGCAAGGCUCCGGUCCCUGCGGGAGAACGCGCUUGGCAACUUUAAGCCAAGUGUAGUAUUUUCUAACUGGCGACAGUGGUAUCUUGGGUCAGCUGAUUUUCCUGAACACCUACACCCAAGAAACAGUUCCGAGGGGAGAGGGGGUGGUUAACUGUGCUGACUUUGUUUCUAAGAUGAUAAGGUUGAUUGAAAGGUAAAGGGCCGGGCGCCUGACCAUACCUGUGACCUCAGUGACUCAGAAGGUCGGGGCAGGAGGAUCCCAAGUUCAAGGCCAGCCUGGGCAAAUUAGCAGGAACCUCAAAAAUUUAGUGAGACCCUGUCUCAAAAAUAAAGUAAAUGACCCAAGUUCAAUCCCCAGUGCCACAGAGGAGGUUGGGGAGGGACAGAGUGAAGAAAAGGCAGCGGAGUUUUAAAAUCUGGCAGAAAGCGUCCAUUGCUGCAACUUACUAGCUAUGUGGGCGUGGCCCAAAGUUCCCCUGUGUCCUGCCUGGGUGGCCAUGUCUACCUGACCAGGUCACUCAGCCAACUCAGCUAGGACUCAUAGACAUAGACAGCCAUAGCUGUGGACAUCAGAAGAGCUUUGAAGUGGGGAAGGUUGUGUAACCGAAGACAGCAGCUAGUGCUGCUCCAACUGGAUCCUCUACCGUCUGGGUGGCCAGACACAGGAGUCCCAAUGCCCACGUGAGCGGCUGGGAGGUUUGGCUCAGCAAUUUGGAGCCAUCUUGUGUCAGGGAUGCCUUUCCUCGUGCACACCAGCUACCACAGGAGCCAGCUGACCCCUGGAUGCCCAUCUGCACAGUCCCGCCCCUCCACUCUGUGGCUCCAAGAGCCCCACACCAGGAACACGAGUCCAAAUCCUGAUUUUGGAGCUCAGGCACACGUUGAAGCUGCCAGAUGUGCCAGCUCCCUCUGCCUCUGCAUAAGGCCACAACAGAAGGUGUCCGUCAGCUCGGGCUGCUAUGACAAAAUGCCAGGAACUCAGCAGCCUGUCAACAGUGGACAUUAUUUCUGGCAGUUGUGGGGGCUGGAAUCUGAGAUCAGGGUGUGAGCACACAUGGGUUCUGUUGUGGGCCCUUCCCGUCGCAGAUGGCAGAAGACAGCUACUGACUCUGGCUCUUCUUACCAGGGCACUAAUCCCGUUCAAGAGAACCCCACCAUGGUGACCUCCUACCUCCCAGGUCCAAACAACGUCACACUGGGAUUAGGAGGGGUUCAACCUACAGAUCUGAGGGACGCUCAAGCAGUAAGAGAGGAUAAUUUGUGUGCCCCUAGUGAGAACUAUGGGGACGGAACCAAUGUCAAGUUCCCUGUGAGAAUCUUUCCUGUGGAGCCAGGCAGCUGCCGCAGUCUGGUUGGGCACCAUUCAGGAGCCACUUGUCAAAAGAAACGAACUUUAUUUUUAGAACCACACAAGCCAAACAAAACAGCUCCUCAGGAAAACCCCUCAGAGCCCAACUGCCACCACCGGCUUCCCACAAGCCUCUCAACCUCCCCGACUCCUCCUGCUCUUGAGGCCAAUUGGCUGGGUCCAGUGGGUGGAGCCAAAAAAAAAGUCCCCCAAUGAGCAGCUCCGUAGUCUGAAAGGGCGGGGAAACAGCCCAAUGAGCAUCACCGCAGAGGAGCCAAUCAGCUAGAAGUUGCUGGGGCGCUGUGAGCCAAUCAUCAGAUGGCAGUCUGAAAGUUUGCUGGGGCCCCUUUGGCUGUGGCUCUCAACAGGCAGGCUGCUCUUAACAGCUAAGCACUGAGCUACUCAGGAAUCUGCCCGCCUAGGAGCCCAGACGAUGCUGGCUUGGACGCCCACUGUUCAGCCAUGAUGGGUGGACACUGGAAGUGACUUUCUCUGAUGGCUCUAAGUUCAUCUCCCUUACAGUGACUCUUUUUUCUUUCUUUCAAAAUUUUUUUUUUCUUACAAAAUGUCUCCUGCAUAUGAAAAUGUACCAGGGAAAACCCAAAGGACGCCUCCUUCAUGUAGUCUCGGUGCUUAAGACAGAAGGCGCUUCAGACGCAGCCCGGGCUCCGCCCUUGGUCUCCAUCCAGCCCGCCCUCCCGCUCUGCUGAGCCUGGAGCCCACUCCUUCCUCACGUGGGGCUAAAUUUGACUCCCUGUGGAUGUCACUCCAACACCGGGGAGUGUUUUGCUGUAGACCUUGUCAGUUGACAUUGUUUGGGGGAUUGUCCACGUGGACACAUGGAGUUCUGGCCUGUUUGUUUUCACUCCUGUGAAAUAAAUAUUCCCCCUAGGAGCAGCCCCUACUCGGUCCAGACGUCGGGCUGUUCCCCAGGCAGGAGCAGCGCAGCCGUGAACUGCCCACACACCUGCGGGGGCCUCUGGAGCUUGCGCUGGGGAACAGGGUUCCAGCCUUCAGGAUAGCGCUCUCCAGCCUGCCCGGGGCCGCCCACUGCUCUCCCGUCUUCUACCAGCUUUCUCUCUGGCCGUCCCUCACAUUGCUACAGUUUGGUUGUAGUUGUCCCCAAGGGUACAUUGUCUCAGAAGCCUGGUCCCCAGUAUGCCAGUGUCAAGAGGUGGUGGAACCUCCAAGAGGUGAAGCCCAGUGGGAGCAAGUAGGUCACUGGUCAUGUUGACAUUUGCCGUUAGCAUGGUUCCUGGGGGACCCUAAGUUAGUUCUCAUGAGGGGGUUGUUAUGAGAGGGAGACCCUGGCUGCUCCUUCCCUAUAGCUUCCUAUCUAGCCACAUGAUCUCACCUGCACAUGUUUCUGCCAUGGUACCAUCUGCCACGGGACUUUCAGCAGAUCUAAACAAAGACAAGCCUCCAAACUGUCAAAGACUGGUUUUUCAGCCUCCCAAACUGUGAGCUAAGCAAACCUUUUUUCUUCAUAAACACUCUGACUCUGGUAUUUUGUCAUAGUAACAGAAAAGACUAACACAUGCAUCCUGCCACCUUUGCUAAUCUGAUGUGUAAGAAGUAGAAUUAGUUAUUGUGGUCAUUUGUCUCCCCUUAUUAUAACCCUGAGAUCCUAACACUUGUGUCCUACACACUCUGGCUCCUCUCCUGCACAUUGCCUUGGUGUGAAACAAUCCAUUUUCCCUGAUGCCUAAGCCAAAGUCAGGAACUUGUUGACUUGUGGGUGAAGCUGAUGACUGAGGCCUCACCCCUCUGUCUGCUUGGACUAAGAGGCUCCAGUUUAGGUCUACCCUCAGAAGCUCAGAGCCCAACCAGGCUGUGCAGACUUGCCAAGCUCCGACAGGGCCGUGCGACCAGCCUGACACUGCCACAGCCCGAUUCAGUUGUUCCCGGCACCUCUCCCUUCAUCACCGUGGCAAAGCCCCCAAACUAGAGGCUGAGGCCCCAGGGUGCUGAGAGCCCCGAGAACAUUCAUGCCAGCAAAGACAGAGACCAGAGUUCUCCUGCACUGCCUGAGUCAGGGUCAGUCCCAGCGUUUUGUCCCUGUGGCCAAAGACUGCUAAGAGCUCACCAUGGGGCCACUCGUAAUAGCAACCCAAAGAAAAGAGGGAAGCCACCUGAGUGUCCUCCUGCACGAUCAGCUGAAUGAAGAAACGUUCGCUCCUCCAAGAACGCACUUGAAAGCCACCCAAAACCAUGGGGCAGAAGAGCACCCAGGUCAAGGGAGCCUCUCAGGAGCCUUCCUGUGGGUCCUCAGACCCCCUGCAGCUCACGGGCCACUGCUGACCACUGCCUCUGAAUGUCAGCGGGCGGACAAGGGUCCUGAGGGCUCCCAGAGGUUCCUGUGCACACUAAGAGGGUGAGCUCAGCACCGCGGGGCCUGGGAAACAUUCAACAAGCUCACUGUGAGCUAAGAGGAAGAAAGCAGGUUACAUGGCAAUUCAGUGCAUGAAAAAGUGAUCCCGUGUGUGUGUGUGUGUGUGUGUGUGUGUGUGUCCUGACAGGUGCCUAGGAACCCCGCUGACAGCAGUUACCUAUGCAGUUACCUCCAGAUCAUGAUUUCUGAACCUCGGCUCCAUCCCAUCUGGGGCCUGGUGAUUCUGGGGGAGGGGCUGUCCUGGUCACUGCAGGAUGCUCAACACGUCCCUGGUCUCCUCCACUAGAGGCCAGUAGCACCUCGCAGUGAUGGCAAUCGACAGACACCUCCUGAGGGCCCCAGGCCCCGGUUGGGAACCAGCGCUCCAGAUGGAAAGCAUCACAGGGGGCCUUUCCCUGCUUUUAGGAUGUGGGCCUGUUUUUUAUAUUGUUUGUUGCUGUUUUCACUAAGAUGAAUAUAAAGUAUUUACUCACAUUAAAAAUUUAAAAAAAAAAAAAACUUGGUGUUUCUUAAUGGUCCAUGGCCUGUGCUGUCAAAAAAAUAAAAACACUCAGAUAAGACAUUCGUGUUGGUACGUACAGUAAGUAAGCCAAUUUUACUAGCAUUUUAAAAUAGUUACGGAAAAACAUAAAAGUCCUACCCAAAUGUCAAUGUCCCUUAGGAGACGUUAAAAUAUUUCUAACCUUUGGACAAGGCCUCUGGAUUUGA
This 7201-nucleotide long non-coding RNA is filed under the name Marmota monax (woodchuck). Lineage: Eukaryota; Metazoa; Chordata; Mammalia; Rodentia; Sciuridae. The record is from RNAcentral.